Molecule: long non-coding RNA, 458 nt
Organism: Thalassophryne amazonica
Lineage: Eukaryota; Metazoa; Chordata; Actinopteri; Batrachoidiformes; Batrachoididae
Exons: 2
Source: RefSeq, a predicted model, not a curated record
UAUUCUAGAAACAGUAUUUUUAUAGUCACAUGACUAAAUCACCCAUCUUGACUGUUAUCAAACCUAAAUGAUUCAGGAUAUGUAAGUGUGUGUGUGUAUAUAUAUCUAUAUAUAUAUACAUAUAUAUAGAUACACACACUCAGAUAAAAGACUAUCAGUUCAUCAGACUUUGGGGUUUGGUUUUGGCUACAAUGUAUCUAUCUGCAUGCAUGUGCAAUCACAUACACUUGCACACGGAUUAAUGUGCAUAUGCACACACACAAACACGUAUGCGUGUACACUGUAUGAUUGUGCUUAAGAAUAAACUGUCCUUACUUUGGAGAAGGAAUUUUAGGAUGAGCGAGGUGAGUGUUGUCUCGUAAGCAGGCAUGUUGACCAUGUGCAAUAUUUCUAAACAGCAACAAUGACAAAAAAAAAAAAAAACAAAUAUUGAAAAACAUUAAAGACCUAACACAAUG